UACGUAGGGUGCGAGCGUUAAUCGGAAUUACAGGGCGUAAAGCGUGCGCAGGCGGUUCGUUGUGUCGGUGGUGAAAUCCCCGGGCUUAACCUGGGAAUGGCCAUGGAAACUGGCGAACUGGAGUGCGGCAGAGGGGGGUGGAAUUCCGCGUGUAGCAGUGAAAUGCGUAGAGAUGCGGAGGAACACCGAUGGCGAAGGCAGCCCCCUGGGCUAGCACUGACGCUCAGGCACGAAAGCGUGGGGAGCAAACAGG
RNAcentral lists this ribosomal RNA (253 nucleotides) under uncultured bacterium. RNAcentral describes it as "partial 16S ribosomal RNA". It matches the Rfam family "Bacterial small subunit ribosomal RNA", at positions 524 to 776 of the family's 1533-position model. The record is from RNAcentral.